UAUUUCCUGCCGUCUACGA
RNAcentral lists this unclassified non-coding RNA (19 nucleotides) under Mus musculus (house mouse). RNAcentral describes it as "oocyte_clustered_small_RNA4531". Lineage: Eukaryota; Metazoa; Chordata; Mammalia; Rodentia; Muridae. The record is from RNAcentral.